UACGUAGGGGGCAAGCGUUGUCCGGAUUUAUUGGGCGUAAAGAGCGUGUAGGCGGUUUGGUAGGUCCGCUGUGAAAACUCGGAGGCUCAACCUCGAGACGCCGGUGGAAACCAUCAGGCUAGAGUCCGGAAGAGGAGAGUGGAAUUCCUGGUGUAGCGGUGAAAUGCGCAGAUAUCAGGAGGAACACCAAUAGCGAAGGCAGCUCGCUGGGACGGUACUGACGCUAAGGCGCGAAAGCGUGGGGAGCGAACAGG
This 254-nucleotide ribosomal RNA is filed under the name uncultured bacterium. RNAcentral describes it as "partial 16S ribosomal RNA". It matches the Rfam family "Bacterial small subunit ribosomal RNA", at positions 524 to 776 of the family's 1533-position model. The record is from RNAcentral.